AAGUCGUAACAAGGUUUCCGUAGGUGAACCUGCGGAAGGAUCAUUCAUAAUUGAGUGUUUUAUGGCACUCUUUAAAAAAUCCAUAUCCACCUUGUGUGCAACGUUUUUAGACACCCUGGCGCUGAUAUCUCUUUUAAGAGAAGGAAAGCCAGGAUGUUUGAUUAACUUAACUCAACUCCUUUAAAACAGUUUGUCUGAAUACCUAUUUCUGAAUAACAUAAUUCAAAAAUACAACUUUCAACAACGGAUCUCUUGGUUCUG
This 261-nucleotide unclassified non-coding RNA is filed under the name Haplosporangium bisporale. Its description in RNAcentral is "partial internal transcribed spacer region". The stretch from base 1 to 46 matches the Rfam family "Eukaryotic small subunit ribosomal RNA", at positions 1786 to 1831 of the family's 1831-position model. Lineage: Eukaryota; Fungi; Mortierellomycota; Mortierellomycetes; Mortierellales; Mortierellaceae. The record is from RNAcentral.